AUAGGAUGGGCCCGCGUAAGAUUAGCUAGAUGGUGAGGUAAUGGCUCACCAUGGCGACGAUCUUUAGCUGGUCUGAGAGGAUGAUCAGCCACACUGGGACUGAGACACGGCCCAGACUCCUACGGGAGGCAGCAGUAGGGAAUCUUCCACAAUGGACGAAAGUCUGAUGGAGCAACGCCGCGUGAGUGAAGAAGGAUCUCGGUUCGUAAAACUCUGUUGCAAGGGAAGAACAAGUAGCGUAGUAACUGGCGCUACCUUGACG
Molecule: ribosomal RNA, 262 nt
Filed under: uncultured prokaryote
Description: partial 16S ribosomal RNA
Rfam family: Bacterial small subunit ribosomal RNA
Source: RNAcentral